CGUCAAUUACUGCACCGACUGAUCACCGGUGGCUCACCGGUACUUGACGGGACAACCGAAUAACAACAGCUGCCUUUUGAGCGGGAAGCUGCAGACCCGAACGGAGUAAGCCUCCAUCGGCCUGCGGUAGGUGUCCUAUUGCCUUUUUGCAGCUGAC
RNAcentral lists this non-coding RNA (157 nucleotides) under bovine gut metagenome. RNAcentral describes it as "DUF2800 RNA". It matches the Rfam family "DUF2800 RNA". Rfam says of the family: Actinobacteria, Firmicutes, Synergistetes (1 example). The record is from RNAcentral.